UGUACCCUCACACUUCUGGUCUUUGGACUGGGAGCGGUGGACUUGGGUGUUGCUGCUUGACCGUGGCUCACCUCAAAAGCAUUAGUGCAUCUCCUGGUUGGACAUAGUACGGCGUGAUAAGUAUCUUCGCCGGCACCUCACUUCAGAGGGUGGCUGACCAGGGGCCCUGUGCUUUCCAACCGUCUUCGGACAAUGACUGACA
RNAcentral lists this unclassified non-coding RNA (202 nucleotides) under uncultured Sebacinaceae. RNAcentral describes it as "sequence contains ITS2". Lineage: Eukaryota; Fungi; Basidiomycota; Agaricomycetes; Sebacinales; Sebacinaceae. The record is from RNAcentral.